RNAcentral lists this ribosomal RNA (497 nucleotides) under uncultured bacterium. Its description in RNAcentral is "partial 16S ribosomal RNA". It matches the Rfam family "Bacterial small subunit ribosomal RNA", at positions 28 to 507 of the family's 1533-position model. The record is from RNAcentral.
GAUGAACGCUGGCGGCGUGCCUAAUACAUGCAAGUCGAGCGAACAGACGAGGAGCUUGCUCCUCUGACGUUAGCGGCGGACGGGUGAGUAACACGUGGAUAACCUACCUAUAGGACUGGGAUAACUUCGGGAAACCGGAGCUAAUACCGGAUAAUAUAUUGAACCGCAUGGUUCAAUAGUGAAAGACGGUUUUGCUGUCACUUAUAGAUGGAUCCGCGCCGCAUUAGCUAGUUGGUAAGGUAACGGCUUACCAAGGCAACGAUGCGUAGCCGACCUGAGAGGGUGAUCGGCCACACUGGAACUGAGACACGGUCCAGACUCCUACGGGAGGCAGCAGUAGGGAAUCUUCCGCAAUGGGCGAAAGCCUGACGGAGCAACGCCGCGUGAGUGAUGAAGGUCUUCGGAUCGUAAAACUCUGUUAUUAGGGAAGAACAAAUGUGUAGGUAACUAUGCACGUCUUGACGGUACCUAAUCAGAAAGCCACGGCUAACUACGUG